This 578-nucleotide ribosomal RNA is filed under the name uncultured bacterium. Its description in RNAcentral is "partial 16S ribosomal RNA". It matches the Rfam family "Bacterial small subunit ribosomal RNA", at positions 355 to 926 of the family's 1533-position model. The record is from RNAcentral.
UGGGGAAUUUUGGACAAUGGGCGAAAGCCUGAUCCAGCAAUGCCGCGUGUGUGAAGAAGGCCUUCGGGUUGUAAAGCACUUUUGUCCGGAAAGAAAUCCUUGGCUCUAAUACAGUCGGGGGAUGACGGUACCGGAAGAAUAAGCACCGGCUAACUACGUGCCAGCAGCCGCGGUAAUACGUAGGGUGCAAGCGUUAAUCGGAAUUACUGGGCGUAAAGCGUGCGCAGGCGGUUUGCUAAGACCGAUGUGAAAUCCCCGGGCUCAACCUGGGAACUGCAUUGGUGACUGGCAGGCUAGAGUAUGGCAGAGGGGGGUAGAAUUCCACGUGUAGCAGUGAAAUGCGUAGAGAUGUGGAGGAAUACCGAUGGCGAAGGCAGCCCCCUGGGCCAAUACUGACGCUCAUGCACGAAAGCGUGGGGAGCAAACAGGAUUAGAUACCCUGGUAGUCCACGCCCUAAACGAUGUCAACUAGUUGUUGGGGAUUCAUUUCCUUAGUAACGUAGCUAACGCGUGAAAUUGACCGCCUGGGGAGUACGGUCGCAAGAUUAAAACUCAAAGGAAUUGACGGGGUCAUAGCU